Mastomys coucha (southern multimammate mouse) is the source of this 1149-nucleotide long non-coding RNA. RefSeq lists it as uncharacterized. The transcript is spliced from 6 exons. The record is from RefSeq and is a predicted model, not a curated record. NCBI's taxonomy places the organism in Eukaryota, Metazoa, Chordata, Mammalia, Rodentia, Muridae.
UGCAGAGAAAUCUACUUUUACCCCUCUUUGAAGCCGUGAAAACCUUCAGCCCUUGCUUGUCAUUAACCGAGUCAGGACCAGAACCCCCACACGGAUGUACCGUGUCCCCGACUGCUCCUCUGCUCUGCCUCUGCCCACACGCCAGCUUGUGGAGACAUAAAUGUUCGUGUCCCUGGCUGGCCUGGAACUCACCAUGUAGACCAGGCUGGCCUGGAAGUCACAGAGAUUCACCUGCCUCUGCCUCCUUGAGUUCUGGGAACAUGGAUCUGAUUUUAAGCUUUCCCCUGACCUGUCACGAGCAGAUGCCUCACCCUGUCCCGAGUUAGCUGGAAUGUCACCUCUGGCAAGAAGCCUUUCUAACUCUGUCAGGGUCAGUCACUCCUCAGGAGUCUACAGUUCCAUCUGAUCAUGUUUGAGAAUGCUUCCUAGAUUUGCCAGCCACGCAGAGGCCAUGCUAAUGUCCGUGCUGUUCUGACUGUGUGUGUGUGUGUAUGUGUGUGUGACCAAAGCACUCAAUGAGCUUUUCGACCUAUUUGCUCAGAGUAAAGGCCUCCCUCUUCUCCUGGGGGAUUCCAAAGCAAUCUCUCCAAAGCAGAGACUCUCAUCUCAGGAUCCCUGUGUCUGGGGACCGUGUGCAGGCUGAGGAGAGAGAGUUAUGACUUCCUUGACACUGGCUGGGAAUGUUUCAGGGCUGUUUAUUUCCUCGCAUCCUACAACAGCCUGUCUCUGAAUAUCUGUGUGGAGUGCAGUCACUCCACACAGCCACCGUGAGAAAGAAGGCAAGACUGAAGCAGCAAUGGGGAAAUUAAAUCUCAGAGAGGGCAAAGGAUCUGGCCCAGGUCACACAGCUGUGUAGAGGUCAGAUUGAAUCCAGACCCUGAGGUUCCUGGUGCCCAGGCAAGCCCUGAGCAUAUUCUAACAAGGGCGUUCUGAGUUCCACCCUCCAAUGAAGUCACUUGCUCUUCUGCUUGCUGGUUGAAUGAACAUUUGGAGCAAGGCUGCGGUUCUUUGUCUUUUGUUUUUCUUUUCCAAAAGUAACAAAUACUUCAGUGUCCUUAUGACAGCGAAAUCUAGUUCGCAUCACUGUUAUUAAAACUGUGAUUUAACAAAGAGCUUUUAUUACAAAAAUAAAUUUCGCUAAUAACCGGC